UACGGGGGGGGCAAGCGUUGUUCGGAAUUACUGGGCGUAAAGGGCGUGCAGGCGGUUUGUUUAGUCUAGGGUGAAAGCUCCCGGCUUAACUGGGAGAGGUCCUUGGAUACUGGCAAACUUGAGGGAGGCAGAGGAAAGUGGAAUUCCCGGUGUAGUGGUGAUAUGCGUAGAUAUCGGGAGGAACACCAGUGGCGAAGGCGGCUUUCUGGGCCUUACCUGACGCUGAGGUGCGAAAGCGUGGGGAGCAAACAGG
This 253-nucleotide ribosomal RNA is filed under the name uncultured bacterium. RNAcentral describes it as "partial 16S ribosomal RNA". It matches the Rfam family "Bacterial small subunit ribosomal RNA", at positions 524 to 776 of the family's 1533-position model. The record is from RNAcentral.